RNAcentral lists this ribosomal RNA (504 nucleotides) under uncultured bacterium. RNAcentral describes it as "partial 16S ribosomal RNA". It matches the Rfam family "Bacterial small subunit ribosomal RNA", at positions 30 to 523 of the family's 1533-position model. The record is from RNAcentral.
AUUGAACGCUGGCGGAAUGCUUUACACAUGCAAGUCGAACGGUAGCACAGAGAGCUUGCUCUUGGGUGACGAGUGGCGGACGGGUGAGUAAUGUCUGGGAAACUGCCCGAUGGAGGGGGAUAACUACUGGAAACGGUAGCUAAUACCGCAUAACGUCUUCGGACCAAAGUGGGGGACCUUCGGGCCUCACACCAUCGGAUGUGCCCAGAUGGGAUUAGCUAGUAGGUGGGGUAAUGGCUCACCUGGGCGACGAUCCCUAGCUGGUCUGAGAGGAUGACCAGCCACACUGGAACUGAGACACGGUCCAGACUCCUACGGGAGGCAGCAGUGGGGAAUAUUGCACAAUGGGCGCAAGCCUGAUGCAGCCAUGCCGCGUGUAUGAAGAAGGCCUUCGGGUUGUAAAGUACUUUCAGCGGGGAGGAAGGCGAUGGAGUUAAUAGCUUCAUCGAUUGACGUUACCCGCAGAAGAAGCACCGGCUAACUCCGUGCCAGCCGCCGCCGUAA